UACAGAGGUCUCAAGCGUUGUUCGGAUUCAUUGGGCGUAAAGGGUGUGUAGGUGGCGCCGUAAGUCGGGUGUGAAAUCUCGGGGCUUAACUCCGAAACUGCAUUCGAUACUGCGGUGCUUGAGGACUGGAGAGGAGACUGGAAUUCAUGGUGUAGCAGUGAAAUGCGUAGAGAUCAUGAGGAAGACCAGUGGCGAAGGCGGGUCUCUGGACAGUUCCUGGCACUGAGACACGAAGGCCAGGGGAGCAAACGGG
This 253-nucleotide ribosomal RNA is filed under the name uncultured bacterium. RNAcentral's name for it is "partial 16S ribosomal RNA". It matches the Rfam family "Bacterial small subunit ribosomal RNA", at positions 524 to 776 of the family's 1533-position model. The record is from RNAcentral.